UCGGAUUGCAGGCUGCAACCCGCCUGCAUGAAGUUGGAAUCGCUAGUAAUCGCGGAUCAGCAUGCCGCGGUGAAUACGUUCCCGGGCCUUGUACACACCGCCCGUCACACCAUGAGAGUCGGGAACACCCGAAGUCCGUAGCCUGACCGCGAAGGGGGCGCGGCCGAAGGUGGGUUCGAUAAUUGGGGUGAAGUCGUAACAAGGUAAC
RNAcentral lists this ribosomal RNA (208 nucleotides) under uncultured bacterium. RNAcentral's name for it is "partial 16S ribosomal RNA". It matches the Rfam family "Bacterial small subunit ribosomal RNA", at positions 1293 to 1500 of the family's 1533-position model. The record is from RNAcentral.